This is a small nucleolar RNA of Rana temporaria (common frog), 71 nucleotides long. RefSeq annotates it as small nucleolar RNA SNORD30. The record is from RefSeq and is a predicted model, not a curated record. Lineage: Eukaryota; Metazoa; Chordata; Amphibia; Anura; Ranidae. The transcript has a single exon.
ACUGAUGAUGAUUUAUCUCUUGGAAUCUCGUUCGUCUGAAUUCUGAUGAGACCUUAUUAUAACUGAUGGUU